UCAAUUGGUGGCUCAGGCGGGGCAGCCUUAGGGCUGGUCGGUUUCCAGUUUUCCGAUUCCUAACCUCGUCUGAGUUACCACCCAU
Molecule: non-coding RNA, 85 nt
Organism: Rahnella aquatilis
Lineage: Bacteria; Pseudomonadati; Pseudomonadota; Gammaproteobacteria; Enterobacterales; Yersiniaceae
Source: Rfam